Molecule: long non-coding RNA, 1674 nt
Filed under: Homo sapiens (human)
Lineage: Eukaryota; Metazoa; Chordata; Mammalia; Primates; Hominidae
Description: HSALNT0079206
Source: RNAcentral
CAUCACCCUCCUGCCAGGGGUUGAAGUCAGGAAGUAGUUUAUUUUCGCUGAAACUGAAGGGGGAAGUUAAAGAGAAAAAUAGCUGCAACUUGGUCAAUUCAGGAAAACCAGGUACGAAAAAAGAGGAGCAAGUUAAAGGGAAAGCCAGCUCGGAUUUGCUCACCAGUAAAAGGCAAAAAUCCCAGUGUUAUUCAUCUGCAUUUGGUGUGAAAGACAAAAGCUCAACUGGGAUCUGAGGCUUUCUGUGUCAGAGGGCAAGGAGUCAAUGGGGUUAUGAGGAAGUAAGACCACUUGAGACAUCAAAGAAAAGUAGAUCAAAUCACUAGACUCCUCCAAACAGGAGUGGGUGAAGACAAAAAGUGGAGAGAAUCCAGAGGGAAGAGAGGAGUAGGGAAAAUGGUGGAAAGGGAAGGUUUUUGAGAUGGAAGGCAGAGAAUGGGAACAAAAGAAGAAAAAGCUGUUUGUUUCAAAUCAAUAUUCUCCAAGAGGAUGUCUUGUUUCCCCAGGGAUAUUCUGAGGGACUCACAGGAUCAGAGCUGCGACACUUCUAACAUAUGAAUUCUCUCAAUUCUGAUGCCCUUUGACCUCUGCCACACAAUGCCAAGACAAACCCAGACCCCAGGCCCUGGAAACAGAGGAGGGGCAGGGACCACCUUCCCCCCCCCACAGAAUUUAUAGGAGAACACAAAUAUAGAUUAAAACAUCUUAUAUUUUUAAGAAUUCAGUUGACUUUACAUACAAUUCCCUCCAUUUUCUUUUUCUUUUAUUUUUACUUCAAGUACAAAUAUUUACAUAUCUGAAGGCACUGAACUUAUUUUGUGCAAUCAAGACAUAUAUUGUUUCAAACCAAUGUGUCUCCAAGGGGAUGGAGGUAUUCUUGAAAUGUCAUUAAUGUGACUUUUCUAGUGUCACACCUUAUUUAUAUUAUUUAUAAAUGAGAAGAAUAGUAUUGCUACUUGUUUUAAAAGUGACAGAAACCACAGACCAGAAAUCCUUCCUUUAAUCCUUCCCACUUGCUCACUGACAUAGGGAAAGGCUUCAGUCAUUUUCAGCUUUUAUCCUUUUCUCCCACUUGUAAAUUGGGUGCAUUUCUAUUCUUACACUUUCUCCUUCUCCAUCAAAUUCCAAAGUGGAAUACAAGAAGGAAACUUACUAAUACCAUAGUUUGGGGGCAGGAAUUAUGCUCAGUGAGGAGUGGAUAUAUUGGGCACGUAGGCAUUUCUAGUACUUUUCUCUAUUUUCUCAUUAAAUUCCUUUUACUCUGCUGAAGUCAAUCUCUUUGAGGGAAAUUCUAGGUCUCAGGAGACAGAGCUUAGGUUUUCAUGCCAGAGAUGCCUGCCCUAGAGUCUCAGAGACACCUAUUUACCCUCUUUCCUCAUCUUUAAAAUGAAGGUACAAUACUUAUUUCACAGCACUUUUACAAGCACCAAAUGCAAUAAACAUCCUAACUAUCUGGACUGCAAAACUGGCCCUCACUCAAGGCAAGAACUUAAAUAAUGUUGACAUGGACAAGAGACAGGGAAAUACUGGGUAGAAGGGCGGUUCUCCAGCAAAGGCCCCAUCCUCAAGCCUGGAAUCCCACAGCCCUGAAUAAGAAUAGGCAUUCUUGUUUUCACACCCAAAAGUUGCCUUUUGGCCUGCCACACCCCCUUCCUGUACUCAUAUAAACCCCAG